GAUUGAACUGAAGAGUUUGAUCCUGGCUCAGAUUGAACGCUGGCGGCAUGCUUUACACAUGCAAGUCGAACGCGAAAGGGGGGCAACCCCCGAGUAGAGUGGCGAACGGGUGAGUAAUACAUCGGAACAUAUCCUGUAGCGGGGGAUAACCUCGAGAAAUCGAGGCUAAUACCGCAUACGUCCUACGGGAGAAAGCGGGGGAUCGCAAGACCUCGCACUAUAGGAGUGGCCGAUGUCGGAUUAGCUAGUUGGCGGGGUAAAAGCCCACCAAGGCUACGAUCCGUAGCUGGUCUGAGAGGAUGAUCAGCCACACUGGGACUGAGACACGGCCCAGACUCCUACGGGAGGCAGCAG
Molecule: ribosomal RNA, 354 nt
Filed under: Betaproteobacteria bacterium RIFCSPLOWO2_12_FULL_62_13b
Lineage: Bacteria; Pseudomonadati; Pseudomonadota; Betaproteobacteria
Description: bacterial SSU rRNA
Rfam family: Bacterial small subunit ribosomal RNA
Source: RNAcentral